CCUACGGGUGGCAGCAGUGAGGAAUAUUGGUCAAUGGGCGCAAGCCUGAACCAGCCAAGUCGCGUGAGGGAAGACGGUCCUAUGGAUUGUAAACCUCUUUUGUCGGGGGGCAAAAGACGCCACGCGUGGCGGUCCGAAGGUACCCGAAGAAAAAGCAUCGGCUAACUCCGUGCCAGCAGCCGCGGUAAUACGGAGGGUGCGGGCGUUAUCCGGAUUUAUUGGGUUUAAAGGGUGCGCAGGCGGGAGAUCAAGUCAGCGGUAAAAUUGAGAGGCUCAACCUCGUCGAGCCGUUGAAACUGGUUAUCUUGAGUGCGUGAGAGGUAUGCGGAAUGCGUGGUGUAGCGGUGAAAUGCUUAGAUAUCACGAAGAACUCCGAUUGCGAAGGCAGCAUACCGGAGCUUAACUGACGCUGAUGCACGAAAGUGUGGGUAUCGAACAGGAUUAGAUACCCGUGUAGUC
RNAcentral lists this ribosomal RNA (459 nucleotides) under uncultured bacterium. Its description in RNAcentral is "partial 16S ribosomal RNA". It matches the Rfam family "Bacterial small subunit ribosomal RNA", at positions 338 to 795 of the family's 1533-position model. The record is from RNAcentral.